CGGAAGCUGGGUGUAACCCUUAAACGGUCGGUAACCGUAAGGACGCCGACCGUAGGGUAAACUAGUGACUGGGCU
This 75-nucleotide ribosomal RNA is filed under the name uncultured bacterium. RNAcentral describes it as "partial 16S ribosomal RNA". The record is from RNAcentral.